RNAcentral lists this unclassified non-coding RNA (220 nucleotides) under uncultured Actinomycetes bacterium. Its description in RNAcentral is "uncultured actinobacterium contains 16S-23S intergenic spacer region". It matches the Rfam family "Bacterial small subunit ribosomal RNA", at positions 976 to 1196 of the family's 1533-position model. The record is from RNAcentral. Lineage: Bacteria; Bacillati; Actinomycetota; Actinomycetes.
UGGGUUUGACAUGCACUAGACGCGUCUAGAGAUAGGCGUUCCCUUGUGGCUGGUGUGCAGGUGGUGCAUGGCUGUCGUCAGCUCGUGUCGUGAGAUGUUGGGUUAAGUCCCGCAACGAGCGCAACCCUCGUUCCAUGUUGCCAGCGGGUUAUGCCGGGGACUCAUGGGAGACUGCCGGGGUCAACUCGGAGGAAGGUGGGGAUGACGUUUACGUGCACUU